Molecule: long non-coding RNA, 1431 nt
Organism: Gymnogyps californianus (California condor)
Lineage: Eukaryota; Metazoa; Chordata; Aves; Accipitriformes; Cathartidae
Exons: 4
Source: RefSeq, a predicted model, not a curated record
UAAAGGAAGAAAUAAAGGACUACUUGCCACAAAAAUGAUGCCUUAGAAAAUCUGUUUGGAAGGAGAAAGAUGCACCAACACCCACCCUUUUGCUAAGAAGCCACAAGUUCAGACAAAAGGAGCUUUCGAUGCUUGCUAUUCUUGCAAGUUAUCCAGCAUAAACCUGACUCUUAAUUCUGUAUCCUACUCAGUGGACCACAAGUCUCCGUACUUACCCUUGACCGACUGAGGCCUCUGGCUGCUAGGAAUCCCAUCACCGUGCAUGUAAGUGCUUCAUGAUCGCACAGGAGUUGCUGCCUGGGCUGAGACUGCACAGCCUGCUCUAGGAGCUGGGCCCCUGCAGCAGAAGUGAGCAUAACAUCACCAUAUGUGAACAUCACUGAAGAUGCAAGCAGCGUUGACCCAAGGAAACUGAAGGCAGGUGUACGGUGUCCUCAGGCCUGCUUCAGUAGUUUGACAGACACCUGGGGUAGGAUGUGAACCAGAUUUAACAGAAAACUACUUAACACUUUGUGAAGAAGAGCCUUCCGCUAGGGUUGAGAACUGGAUUAGAAAUGACUGAAUUUCUCAUGAAGAAGACAUCAGUCAUGAAGUUUUAUUCCUUUGAGUGCCCUCAAGAGACCAGGCAGAUCUGAUCGGCAAGGAGCGCUGCUGACUCAGGCUGCUGCGGGAAGGCGUCGAAGGCCAGCCAAGGAAAUCUCUGACCUUCACUUCGCCGCUGACCGUCACUUGGGUUUUCCUGCCUGGAAGAGGGGCGGUGGGCUGGGGUAGCUGGGGAGGAAACAGAGACCAGAACCAUUGACCUCAAUCUAAACACAAUACAGAAAAAGACAAUAAACUCCAGGAGGAAAAACACAGGAGUGAUUUACCUAGGAGGAAGUGAGAAUAUUAAAUUCUUUCAAGUAACUUCAGGAGGUGUAAUAGAGGAAAUCUAUUGAAAACACACAGAGAAGACAGCUGUCUCUAGCCAGUGAGUCCUGUGACACACAGAAGUGUUGGAUAUUUACUAUAUAACUCAUAUUUUACAAAUGAUUAAAUCUGUGAAUGCCGUGGGAUUAUUGCAAUUGUGCAUUCAUAUUGCUUUUCUGCAUCUGGAAAAGUAGAAAGGUUAUAAACUGUAAUAAAUUCUUCCUAAUUUAUCUGUUCAUCUGAAUAUGUGUUCAAUAUGGCAAAAUUGUAAGCCCGCUUGUCCAGUGUUGACAAAGAUUUUUAAUGUGGUUCACAGUGACCUGUGAUGAAGUUCCUCUCCUUGAAGGUCUGCUUUACCCAUUUUACCUAAUACUACUACUUCUUCUCCCUCUCCCUCUUCUCUCCUCUCCCUUCUUCCAUAUAUCCAAAACUAUGUUGUGUUUAAUACAGAGAACUGUAGCUAUAUGAAUUGCCAAAAACAUGGUAAGAUUUUGUUUUUUCCUUUUCUGCAGAGUUUGCACA